This is a long non-coding RNA of Arabidopsis lyrata subsp. lyrata, 1681 nucleotides long. RefSeq lists it as uncharacterized. Lineage: Eukaryota; Viridiplantae; Streptophyta; Magnoliopsida; Brassicales; Brassicaceae. The transcript is spliced from 2 exons. The record is from RefSeq and is a predicted model, not a curated record.
GUAAGGAUAAUGAGAAAAAUAUAAUUCAAUUACUUCUUCACUAAGAGAUGGAGAAAUGGCUUGUAGGUCAACAACUCUUUGUUACUUUUUUAAUGUCUUGUCUCUUUCUAACCAAAAGCAUAAGCAUAUAUACAAGAGGUGGUCUCAUGAUUUAAAUUUUAAAAUUUUCAUUAUUGGAUACACUUUGACAAAAGCCUCCUUUCUUUUCUAAAAAAGUUGAAAUGAAGUUCAUUAUUGGUGUAUCAUAAUAUUAUUCAGAACGUCCACAAGUGAAACGUGUCUUCAUAUCUUGAUCGGAUCUUUCGUAUUAAUGCCGCAGUAGUAAGAAACAAAAAUAAAAUUUGAUCAAUUAAGAAAAAAAUGAGUUCGUCACAUCACAUGCGGCUUAAUUAUAGUCAUCAUGUAUCUCUAACAUAUAGAUAUUUAUAAAUGCAAACAAUUGACGGAAAAAAAUGUAAAAAAUUCCGACCUGCCGGAAUCAAACCAGCGACCUAAAGAUUUACAGCAACUACUACAGUCUUCCGCUCUACCAACUGAGCUAAGGUCGGAUUGAUAAAGUCCGUAUAUGUGAAAUAUAUAUACAUUUCACUUGAUAAUGGGCCCUAAUGGGCUUUCUAACAGAUUUGUCAAGAGUUGGCGUAUAUGAAGGCUAGAGGUGAGAUUGGUGGAGCCACCCAUGAUACUUACGUGAAAAGCAACCACAACAAUAAUGUGCGCUCCACAGCCAUGAGUGGAGAAGAGGCAGUGGUUAAAAGAAGUUAAAUUCAAUCUGAAUGCUUGAUUUGUUCAGUGCUUUGAAACAAGAUUAAAAAAACUUGACAUUCUGACUUUUAUAGAUACUGUAAUAUUUAAGAUAAGAGAUAACUAAAAGUCGAACUACAUGUGACUGGUUAAAAACCCGGUGAGGAAUCUGAAGAAUCGUUGGUGAUUUGGCCAUCAACAUAGAACGGAUCACGCGGGAUUCUGUUAUAAUUUUUCUACUUAUUUUUUGUUCACUAAAUAUUCAUAUUCUAUCUUACUGGACCCGAUUAAUUUAUACUUUUCAAAAAAACCCUCAUAUUCCCAGCUUUUUACACACACUCAAUCUCAUGAUUUAAAUCAUUAGAAAACGUAUUCGCUAUUUGAUACACCUAUCUCCGUGACUCUAUAUAAACCCUCUAGUGUUCACCUUUAUGUCAAACCACUUAAACCACACUAAUUAACCAAAAAGCAAGUAGAAAAAAUGGCUAAGUCGUCAUGCACUCUCGUUGCUCUCCUCUGCCUCUAUUUUCUUCUUCUUUCUUCAACUAAUUUGAAGGCGGUAGAGGCCGGGGUAUGUCAAAGGUAUAGCGGUUCGUGGGAGGGAGUAUGCAUUUUCUCGAGCAACUGUAAUACCCAAUGCAUUGAAAGGGAAAGCGCUAAAUACGGAGCGUGUCACAGGGAUGACAACGGUUUAGCUUGUUUCUGUUAUUUCGAUUGCUAGAGAAAAUUAUCGUUUGCGUUUUUAUUCUAAGUUGCUUUUUCUUUCCAAAGCUUCCUAUGCGUUGUGUCUCUCCUUCCCUUGGUAUCGUUUUGUUGUUUUUAUUUUAUUCUAUGUUUCCUUACGAAUAAUGCACUACUGUGAUGUGUCAUGUGUAACUACUGUAUCGUUAAAUUUCGAACUUUUGUGUUUGGUUUAUGUUACAUGAGUGUUACGAAACAA